CGAGGACCGAGGGACAUGCAGCAGACUCGUGAGAUGACCGGGGACGUACACCACCAGAGGAGCGAGGCGGAGGACUCAACCGAGGACCCGCGGCUGGGACCGGUCGAUGUCUGGCCGCGGGCGAGUGCGCCAAGCCCCCAUUGCACUUGUCCUGCCCAACGAGUCCAGGUGAGGGUGACCUCCGUGGCGCGCCCGAAAACAUAGAGGGCUCCGAAUCCUCCUAGACACGCUUCUGUGGCUUGGCCUGGGUCGGGGCUACGGUUGAAAACUCGGCAAUGAGAUGAUUCUUCUCCAUGACCUCUGCUCUCAUCGACGCAAUGUUUUUCCUCAGCUUCGAGAUGAACCUGCGAGGUCCGUUGCUGCCUCUCAGAGAAGCGAAGCCCUCAUAAGGAAUACUGGACGUCCCGGUCACAAACUGAAGAGGCAGAGAGAGAUGGGAGGGAGAGAAAGGACAAGAUGAAGAAAGUCUGAUAAAUCGAUCUCCGCUGUGCCGGCAAUCACCAGCUCCAGCUCUCUGGCAUCAAACACUGACACCAGCCUGGCAUCCACCACUUCGUAAAAACCUCGGACCAGGCUCUCCGUCUGCUGCACCACCCCUCGC
Long non-coding RNA from Cheilinus undulatus (humphead wrasse), 601 nucleotides. RefSeq lists it as uncharacterized. NCBI's taxonomy places the organism in Eukaryota, Metazoa, Chordata, Actinopteri, Labriformes, Labridae. The record is from RefSeq and is a predicted model, not a curated record. The transcript has 3 exons.